This 456-nucleotide long non-coding RNA is filed under the name Panax ginseng (ginseng). RNAcentral's name for it is "long non-coding RNA (PGIN_LNC015869)". The record is from RNAcentral. Lineage: Eukaryota; Viridiplantae; Streptophyta; Magnoliopsida; Apiales; Araliaceae.
AACACUUAGCUUCAUUCUCUCUAGACCAAACCUCCGAAAUUUUCUUACCCAUAAGCUUAUAAUCAAAGCCCAACCAUCACAAACAACAAAUCAGAAGCAUCAAGAAGUCAGAAAUCAAAAAUCAAGCUUGAAAAGGUAAGAAACCUUAAAUUCUAGAAAUCCUUCGAUUCGAUGUAAUUGAUGCAAUUGAUUGUUUAAAGUAGUGUAAUAGGGAGUAUAUUAAUGUUCUGGAUUGUAAAAACACAGACCCAUAACAUCAAAGUGCACGAAUUUGAAGAUUUAAGCAAGUUGGAAAAACUAAAUUCUAUUAUUUUUCACCAAAUGUCAGAGGCUAUAACUCUUUGUUCGAUCAUGAGUUUUGUUGUUUAAAGGUUGUUAUGUGUAGCCUGUUAUGUGGUAUUUAACCUCCAAAAAGAAUCAGGUCCAUAUAUAUUAUGGAUUAAGAGUUAUUUAAGG